UCUCAGUUCGGAUUGGAGCUGNAACCCGACUCCAUGAAGCUGGAUUCGCUAGUAAUCGCGCAUCAGCCACGGCGCGGUGAAUACGUUCCCGGGCCUUGUACACACCGCCCGUCAAGCCAUGGAAGCCGGGAGUGCCUGAAGUGCGUGAGCGCAAGCAGCGCCCUAAGGUAAAACCGGUGACUGGGGCUAAGUCGUAACAAGGUAGC
RNAcentral lists this ribosomal RNA (206 nucleotides) under uncultured bacterium. Its description in RNAcentral is "partial 16S ribosomal RNA". It matches the Rfam family "Bacterial small subunit ribosomal RNA", at positions 1286 to 1500 of the family's 1533-position model. The record is from RNAcentral.